GAUGACGCAAUGACUAUUGACAUGGAAACAAUUGAUGAACCAUCAGAAACAAUAACGACCACGGGUGAGAGUGAGACGCCAGGCGAAAACACUACUGCACAACAACCAUCGGAUUCUGCACAACCACCAUCGGAUUCAAUAUCUGCAGAGGAGGGAAAUUCGCAUGAUCAGCUUUGAAUACUGAUCCCGAAUGUAAUGCUUGUUCUACGAGAAGAAACUUGCUUUCAGUAUAUUAGUCUUGAGUAGAUUCGUGUUUUGGUGGAUUUUUUGGUUUAUAAGUAGAAAAGCAAAAAUAAUUCGUACAUCAGAGUUUGGGUUAUUUUUGAAUUAGUGACAAAAGGGCAUCAUUUUCAACUUA
Camelina sativa (false flax) is the source of this 358-nucleotide non-coding RNA. NCBI's taxonomy places the organism in Eukaryota, Viridiplantae, Streptophyta, Magnoliopsida, Brassicales, Brassicaceae. The record is from RefSeq and is a predicted model, not a curated record.